AUUGAACGCUGGCGGCAUGCCUUACACAUGCAAGUCGAACGGUAACAGGUCUUCGGAUGCUGACGAGUGGCGAACGGGUGAGUAAUACAUCGGAACGUGCCUAGUAGUGGGGGAUAACUACUCGAAAGAGUGGCUAAUACCGCAUGAGAUCUACGGAUGAAAGCAGGGGAUCGCAAGACCUUGUGCUACUAGAGCGGCCGAUGGCAGAUUAGGUGGUUGGUGGGAUAAAAGCUUACCAAGCCGACGAUCUGUAGCUGGUCUGAGAGGACGAUCAGCCACACUGGGACUGAGAAACGGCCCAGACUCCUACGGGAGGAAGCAGUGGGGAAUUUUGGACAAUGGGCGAAAGCCUGAUCCAGCAAUGCCGCGUGCAGGAUGAAGGCCUUCGGGUUGUAAACUGCUUUUGUACGGAACGAAAAGCCCCGGGUUAAUACCCUGGGGUCAUGACGGUACCGUAAGAAUAAGCACCGGCUAAUUCCGUGCCAGCCGCCGCGUAA
This 497-nucleotide ribosomal RNA is filed under the name uncultured bacterium. Its description in RNAcentral is "partial 16S ribosomal RNA". It matches the Rfam family "Bacterial small subunit ribosomal RNA", at positions 30 to 522 of the family's 1533-position model. The record is from RNAcentral.